UUAAGAUACUCAAUGUAUACGGCGGAUGCCUAGGGUCUUUGUGCUGAUGAAGGACGUGCAAGGCUGCGUUAAGCCUCGAGAAGCUGCCAAGAAGCGUUAUACUCGGGGAUUUCCGAAUGGGGUAACCUGGCUCGUGGCAACACGAAGUCACCUAUUACUAAAAGUUCCGCAAGGAAUUAUAGGUAAUACGGAAGGUACUCGGCGAACUGAAACAACUUAGUAGCCGGAGGAAACAAGACAAAUUAAUGUAUUUCCUGAGUAGCGGCGAGCGAAAGGGAAGGAGCCUAAACCUAAGUUGGGUAGAAAAACACGGCUGGAAAGCCGGGCCAUAGAGAGUAACAGCCUCGUAUUCGAAACCUAAAUACCUUCUUGGGUUUAUCCGGAGUAGCAUGGGGCACGUGAAACCCUGUGUGAAUAAACCAGGACCGACUGGUAAGGCUAAAUACGCAAAGACACCGAUAGAGAACAAGUACCGUGAGGGAAAGGUGAAAAGUACCCCUGUUAGGGGAGUGAAAUAGUUACUGAAACCGUAUACAAACAAGCUGGCAAAGCCUGCGCAAGCGGGUGAUGCUGUGCCUAUUGAAGAAUGAGCUAGCGAGUUUAUACAACGUGCAAGCUUAAGCAACUAUGUUGCGGAGGCGUAGGGAAACCAAGUCUUAACCGGCGAAUAGUACGUUGUCAUAAGACCAGAAGCCAAGUGAGCUAACCAUGGGCAGGGUGAAGCAUGCAGAAAUGCAGGUGGAGGCCCGAACCGGUGUGCGAGGAAAAGCGCUCGGAUGACCUGUGGUUAGGGGUAAAACGCUUAUCGAACUUGGCGAUAGCUGGUUCUCCCCGAAAUAUAUUUAGGUAUAGCCUUGAUCAAGCUGACACGCGAGGUAGAGAUACUGAAAAGGGCUGGGGCGGGCGACCGUACCCACUCUUACCAAACUCCGAAUGCGCGUGUACCAGUGGUCGGGAGUCAGUACUGCGGGGCAAUCUCGUGGUACGAGAGGGAAACAACCCAGACCAUCGGAUAAGGUCCCUAAUUUUUGCUUAGUGGGCAAGGAAGUGGAGUUGUUCGGACAGCUAGGAGGUUGGCUUAGAAGCAGCCACCCUUUAAAGAAAGCGUAACAGCUCACUAGUUUAACGACUCUGCGCCGACGAUUUAACGGGGCUAAAGCAAAAAACCGAAGCCGUGGAUCCGCCUCUUUUAGGGGUUGGAUGGUAGGGGAGCAUUGAUGUCUGCCAUGAAGGUGUAUCGCGAGGUAUGCUGGAGCGUCAUCAAGUGAGAAUGCUAGCAUGAGUAACGAGAGGAAGGUGAAAACCCUUCCCGCCAAAAGUCUAAGGGUUCCUCCGCAAUGCCAGUCAACGGAGGGUUAGUCGACCCUAAGGUGAGGCCGAAAGGCGUAGCCGAUGGAUAGCAGGUUAAUAUUCCUGCACUACCGUAAGAUCGUUCGACCAAUGGAGGGACGGAGACCGAUGAACUGAGCCCAUUAUGGAUUUGGGUCCAGAAGGCAAGUCAGUCCGUGUAGGAAAAUCCGCACGGGCGUUUAUACGAGCCGGUGGAUAGGCCCCUAAAAAGGCCGAUUCAGUCUCAUUGGACUUCCGAGAAAAGCUUCUAGGGAGAUCUUACGUGUAUUCGUACCGCAAUCCGACACAGGUAGACGGGUAGAGAAUACCAAGGUGAACGAGAGAAUCAUGGUUGAGGAACUAGGCAAAUUACGUCCGUAACUUAGGGAAAAGGACGCCCUGCGCGAGCAGGGGGCACAGAAAUGGCUCAAGCGACUGUUUAACAAAAACACAGGUCUCUGCUCAACUCGUAAGAGGAAGUAUAGGGGCCGACGCGUGCCCAGUGCCCGUAAGUUAAAUCUGGAGGUGAUUUCCAUCUUGUAUGGAAUGAGCUUUCGGUACAAGCUCGGGUGAACGGCAGCAGUAACUAUAACUGUUCUAUGGUAGCGUAAUCCCUUGCCGGGUAAGUUCCGGCCUGCACGAAACGCGUAACGACUUGAGCGCUCUCUUAAUCAUGAACUCGGUGAAAUUGAACUACCGGUGAAGAUGCCGGUUACUCGUUGUUGGACAAAAAGACCCCGUGGAGCUUCACUGCAGCUUGGCAUUGGUAAGUGAUGUCAACUGUGUAGCGUAGGAGGGAGUUUGGGCUUAAAACCCCAAACGUCAAUGAAACACCUCUCUGUUGAUAUUGUGAACCUAACUGUGUGCCGUAAUCCGGCAUGAGGACAAUGUCUGGCAGGCAGUUUAACUGGGGCGGUUUCCUGCUAAAGGGUAACGCAGGAGCUCAAAGGUUCCCUUGGUGCCGAUGGAAAUGGCACUGUAAGUGUAAAGACAUAUGGGAGCUUUACUGCGAGACCUACAAGUCGAGCAGUUACGAAAGUAGGACUUAGUGAUCUUCCGAGUGCUUAUUGGUAAGCCCGGAACUUAACGGAUAAAAGUUACCCCGGGGAUAACAGGCUGAUCUUGCCCGAGCGUCCACAGCGGCGGCAAGGUUUGGCACCGAUGUCGUCUCGUCACAUCCUGGGGCUGAAGUAGGUCCCAAGGGUCCGGCUGUUCGCCGGUUAAAGUGGCGCGUUAGAUGGGUUCAGAGCGUCGUGAGACAGCUCGGUCUCUUUCCACAACAAUCGUGUGAGUUUGAGGGAAUUCGUUCCUAGUACGAGAGGACCGGAAUGAACGAACCUCUGGUGUACCAGUUGUUCCGCCAGGAGCAUCGCUGGGUAGCUACGUUUGGUCGGGAUAAGCGCUGAAAGCAUCUAAGCACGAAGCCCAUCCCAAGAUAAGAACCCUUCCGCGCAAGCGGACGCACCUCCUGGGAGAUCACCAGGUUGAUAGGCCACAGGUGUACGCAUAGUAAUGUGUUUAGCCAAGUGGUACUAAUGGU
This 2869-nucleotide ribosomal RNA is filed under the name candidate division WWE3 bacterium GW2011_GWC1_41_7. RNAcentral's name for it is "23S ribosomal RNA". It matches the Rfam family "Bacterial large subunit ribosomal RNA". The record is from RNAcentral. Lineage: Bacteria; candidate division WWE3.